RNAcentral lists this ribosomal RNA (346 nucleotides) under uncultured bacterium. RNAcentral describes it as "bacterial SSU rRNA". It matches the Rfam family "Bacterial small subunit ribosomal RNA", at positions 8 to 350 of the family's 1533-position model. The record is from RNAcentral.
AGGGUUUGAUCAUGGCUCAGGACGAACGCUGGCGGCGCGCCUAACACAUGCAAGUCGAACGAGCGAGAGAGAGCUUGCUUUCUCAAGCGAGUGGCGAACGGGUGAGUAACGCGUGAGGAACCUGCCUCAAAGAGGGGGACAACAGUUGGAAACGACUGCUAAUACCGCAUAAGCCCACAGGUCGGCAUCGACCAGAGGGAAAAGGAGCAAUCCGCUUUGAGAUGGCCUCGCGUCCGAUUAGCUAGUUGGUGAGGUAAUGGCCACCAAGGCAACGAUCGGUAGCCGGACUGAGAGGUUGAACGGCCACAUUGGGACUGAGACACGGCCCAGACUCCUACGGGAGGCA